AUUGAACGCUGGCGGCAGGCCUAACACAUGCAAGUCGAACGGUAACAGGAAGAAGCUUGCUUCUUUGCUGACGAGUGGCGGACGGGUGAGUAAUGUCUGUGAAACUGCCUGAUGGAGGGGGAUAACUACUGGAAACGGUAGCUAAUACCGCAUAACGUCGCAAGACCAAAAAGGUGGACCUUCGGGCCUCUUGCCAUCGGCUGUGCCCAGAUGGGAUUAGCUAGUAGGUGGGGUAACGGCUCACCUAGGCGACGAUCCCUAGCUGGUCUGAGAGGAUGACCAGCCACACUGGAACUGAGACACGGUCCAGACUCCUACGGGAGGCAGCAGUGGGGAAUAUUGCACAAUGGGCGCAAGCCUGAUGCAGCCAUGCCGCGUGUAUGAAGAAGGCCUUCGGGUUGUAAAGUACUUUCAGCGGGGAGGAAGGGAGUAAAGUUAAUACCUUUGCUCAUUGACGUUACCCGCAGAAGAAGCACCGGCUAACUCCGUG
RNAcentral lists this ribosomal RNA (490 nucleotides) under uncultured bacterium. RNAcentral describes it as "partial 16S ribosomal RNA". It matches the Rfam family "Bacterial small subunit ribosomal RNA", at positions 30 to 507 of the family's 1533-position model. The record is from RNAcentral.